This 253-nucleotide ribosomal RNA is filed under the name uncultured bacterium. RNAcentral's name for it is "partial 16S ribosomal RNA". It matches the Rfam family "Bacterial small subunit ribosomal RNA", at positions 524 to 776 of the family's 1533-position model. The record is from RNAcentral.
UACGUAGGUGGCAAGCGUUGUCCGGAUUUAUUGGGUUUAAAGGGUGCGUAGGCGGCUUUGUAAGUCAGUGGUGAAAUAUGGCAGCUCAACUGUCAAGGUGCCAUUGAUACUGCAGAGCUUGAGUACAGAUGAGGUAGGCGGAAUUGACGGUGUAGCGGUGAAAUGCUUAGAUAUCGUCAAGAACACCGGUGGCGAAGGCGGCUCUCUGGACCGAUACUGACGCUGAGGAGCGAAAGCCAGGGGAGCAAACGGG